UCCCUGACCAAUGUUUCCCCUUCUGUACCAGAAGCUCGCUUCAAUCAGAGUGGCUGAACUGGAUGCGAUCAGGUUUCACGGCUUGUGCCACCUUUUUCCUCCUAUGGUCUUGCUGAGGUGGUGGGAUUUCCCCCCCCCUUCGUGUUUUGUGAGGCCCCUGUACAAAAGUUGCGUAUGCAAAAAAAACGUUCUUUUUCACGGCAAAGUUCAGAUGCAUCAAGAGUGAAAUGACCGUGGAAAUGUACGGUUCCUCACGCACACUUCAUGGCUGGCGUACGCACGUUUCUGCAGCUGAUGGGCCUUUCCUAUUACCCACUUUUCACAAAAUUUCAAAAUAAAAGCCCGAUAUUAAAACAUUUUACAAGGAAAUUAGAGCUAAAUUUCUCAAAGGAUUUGCACCAUUCCUACUUCUACCUGUGCAGCUCAUUCAAACAAACCUGUGAACACCUCCUUCCCCAAGUUUCACGAAAUUUCAAAAGCCCGAAAUUCCAAAUUUUGCUAUAACUUCCUUAAUUCUCAACAGAUUUGCACUGUUCCUACUUCAACGUGUUCAGCUCAUUCAAACCAACCUGUGAACAACUCGCUGAAAUUUCACAAUUUUUAAUUAAAAUCCUGAAAUGCCACUUUUUUUUUUUUACAAAUUUUGCUGUAACUUCCUUAUUUCUCAACAGAUUUACAUUUCUUACUUUGUUUAGCUCAUUCAAGCCAACCUGUGAAUAACUCCCGUUUACCAAAUUUCACGUAAUUUCAAAAAGCCAGACAUUUUAAAUUUUUUUACCCCCAAAAAUUUCACUUUUUCAACCUAACUUUUCCUCCUUUUUGACCCAAUAUUCCCAUAUUGUGACACAUUCUACAUUAUUCCCUCCUCGUUCAACAUUUAUUGACCCAUUGACACCAUUUGAACUUUCCAAUAUUCAGCUCAUUUCACUUCAUUCAAUGACAUUCGACAUUUCUACCAGAAUUUCAGCAUUCACACGCAAUUUCUUCAGGAAUUGCCCUUUCUAGUUGAAUGUAUUGUGUGAAUAUCUCUACAGACUGUUUUGCAGGUUAGAUUUGGCUUACUCUAACCAGCAAAUCAGAGGACAUAACUUGCUGGCUUAGUUUAGUUUAUUUGAUAUGGACAUCACAAGAACAUUGGACAAACCAGAUACCCCACUUCAAGUGUUUUACCAGGAGUGUUAAUUCUCAACACCUGACUUCUGAGGUGAGUUUGAAAUCUAAAUGGUUAAAUAAAAAGUCCCAUUGUUAAUACAUUGUAGUUUAAUUUACAUUGAACCGCACUACUGAUGCUAAAGGAAUUGGAUAGAUUAGAUAUGGCAACGCAUAUUGUACAGGCUAAAAUCUGAUAGGACAAAAAUAAAUCUAACAUCCAUAUGUGGAAGAAAUAUAGCUAAGAGAAAUGCUACAAAAUCAAGAAUCGAGUCUUGGAAAUUUAUUACAAACUCAUGGAACAAAUACUGUAUUAAAAUUUGUUUAAAGUAUAGUGAGUGCUUCUGAUAUGUAGGCUAUUAGAGAAGAUUUUGCUGCCACUUACCACUAGUUUAACCUAACCAAUGUCAUGUCAGAUGUUCGCCAUGACAGGUGUUUCACCCAAGGCAUAUAUACACAUUACACCUGCAUAAUAAAGGCAUCUCUGUGGGCACAAGUGUCCCUUGUUUUCUGUGGAAAUACACGCCUUUCUUCCAUUUUCGCGAGGUGUCGUGUGGUGGUUGGCCGCCUGUCUGUCUCUGGGUCUCUGUUUCUCAGUCACUCUCACUCUCUAUUUUGGUGCUGCAUCGCGCUGCCAAGCCCCUGACGUCAUGCUCCACUGUUAAUGAUUAGCAUGUGGAAACAGGCUGCGCAUGCUUUUCAGCAUCAAGGCGCCCAAAUAUAGCCGGAACAAGAUUGUACAUGCCUUCAAAAUUAAAGCUUUAGGCUCUCUAGAAGAUGAAGCUGCUAAUCAUCAGUAAAACCUGUAAUUCUAUUCUUGCUGAUAGAAUGUUUUUCAUACCUGUUAAUAUAUCAUUGAAACUGCCACUGAGGGACCCAUAGGUGCUAUGAAUAUGAUUAAGGAGUUUACACAUAUCCAACAAUGCUACUAAAAUAAUGAAAAAAAUGCCAUGUAUCCAAAUUGACAUUUUUACUUCAUUAUAUGGCAUUUAUAUGACAGUGGUUUAUGGGUCAAUAUCACUACAAUUUGUCUUCAGAAUCAAUCACUCAGUCAUUGUUAAAAUAGCACAAUAAUGAAACUACGACGUUAUAAGUGGCUCAUGCUUACAUUUACAUACAUGCCAGUACAAUAAGUGUAUUAAAUUAUGUCCUUUCUACA
This is a long non-coding RNA of Phyllopteryx taeniolatus (common seadragon), 2308 nucleotides long. RefSeq lists it as uncharacterized. The transcript is spliced from 3 exons. The record is from RefSeq and is a predicted model, not a curated record. Lineage: Eukaryota; Metazoa; Chordata; Actinopteri; Syngnathiformes; Syngnathidae.